GCUUCUUCUUCACCUGAAGACCAGAGUAGGUUGGAGGUGACUAGUGUGUGUAAGCCCAGGAGAAGCAAGGGCUUAGAGAAGAAUCCAACUGUGACAUCGAGAAGAGCCUGUCCAGUCCCUUCCCAGUAGUGGCUCUGGGGCCCAGGCCCGGCUUCCAGAAGAUGGGGCAGCUCUACUCUGGGGUCAAAGCCAACUACUGCUUGGGUAAGGAGCAGGGCAGGCCUAGUCUUCCUGCACAGAAAGCCUGAGAGAAUUGGCUCUCCCUUUCUCUGGAGCCCAGAGAUUGGGCUGGCUGGGGUCUAGGAUCAAUGAGGGGGAAGCACACCUGAGGAUUGUGCAGCAGGAAGGCCAGGGUCCAUUUAACCACAGAGAUGUCCCCUAUGGUGGUGAGAAUGUGGUUAUCUGAAAGCAGCUCUGAGUCUUGAUCUGGGCCAGCAUUGCCAUU
This 445-nucleotide long non-coding RNA is filed under the name Homo sapiens (human). Its description in RNAcentral is "HSALNT0359764". Lineage: Eukaryota; Metazoa; Chordata; Mammalia; Primates; Hominidae. The record is from RNAcentral.